This is a non-coding RNA of Pelobates cultripes (western spadefoot toad), 257 nucleotides long. Lineage: Eukaryota; Metazoa; Chordata; Amphibia; Anura; Pelobatidae. The record is from the annotation of a GenBank genome assembly.
CAUCAAUCUGGAGAGGAAGAGGGUUCGGGAGCUCUAGCCUGCAACUCCGCCAGGUCAUGAAAUUUUCUCUAUUGAGGUCGGAGCGUUGCCAUGGUUACUAUGGCAACUCUCUGACCAGAUCUCGUGAUAAUGAACUCUAGCCCCAAGAGCUGCAGGGUAGAGUUCACUCACCACUGGCCCGCCUCCCUGAGCAAAGGUAAGAAGGGAGGGGGAAGGGGGGGGAAAUCAACAGGUUUUUUAAUUAAAAAAUAAAUAAA